This is a long non-coding RNA of Pygocentrus nattereri (red-bellied piranha), 1194 nucleotides long. RefSeq lists it as uncharacterized. Lineage: Eukaryota; Metazoa; Chordata; Actinopteri; Characiformes; Serrasalmidae. The record is from RefSeq and is a predicted model, not a curated record. The transcript has 3 exons.
UUGCCCGUCUGGCUGUGCGUAGUGCAGGUCAAAGGUCAGACCGGUGGACAGACAGCAGCGGGGUCGAGGCGGGCUGGAGCCGCGUAUGUCAACAGGAUUGGAGGUCAUUAUGUUGCCUCGACAACAAAAUGUCUCAGUUUCCAUGGAAACACCAUCCUCAUCAGGCUAUACAGCAUGACGGCUGUGAAAGGCUGUGUUUUGUUUAAGGCCUUAUUAACCCCCCCAAAACCUGCUGGUCAGCACAAGCUGUGAAAUCACUGGACAUUGCUCUGCUCUGUGAUUGGACACUGGGCUGCGUUGCCAAGCAACAGUAGUGAAAGGUCUCUGGUGUGCGUUGAUGAGAUCUUUCUGAGGAGACUAGAUAUAAGACAACACACUUGCUCAAGGAAACAAAGUCAAAAGAGAAUAAGUGAGAAAAGCAGGACUUUCCAAAAAAUGAGGAAAAGAUCCAAAGUAAAUGGGACUCCUAACAACCAUCCGGAAGACCAAAACUGUCCCCAUCAAACGUCUGAAGGAAAGUAGAUGAAACAGACCUUCUCAAAUCAAACAAAGACGCUGAUGUUGUUCUCAGAACAAUGGACUGACCACCCCAGAGUCCUCAUCUCAACACCACUGAAUGGGUUUGGGAUUGUCUGGACUACGAGAAGCAGAAAGUACAACCAGUGGUCUCACUUUAUUUGGAUAGCCCACUAUACAUGUUCUGUUGAAACUCAGUUCUAAACAGUGGUGGGGUUAGGGUUAGGAUUUGGACCGGGGUUUGGGCUAUGACCGAAGUGAGGGUUGGAUUUAGGGUUUGGGUUGAGGUUAAGCUUAGGGAUUAGAGCCAAGGUUAGAGUUAAAGACAAUGAUGGUCAGUUUAGCACAGUCAUGUCAAACUGGGGACCUUCAGGGCCAAAACACUGCAGAGAUUAGCAUUUACAUUCACCUACCACUCAGUUCAGGAAGGCCUUGCCAAUCAGCUGAUGAGCUGAAUCAGGUGUGUUUAAUGAGGCAGUGUGUUGGAGUCUGCAGUGCUUUGGCCCGCGAGGACUGGAUCCUGACGCAUGUGAUUUAGUAGAUAUUUAGUUGAAUGUAACUUGAAAGUAAAUUAAGCGUCUACAAAGCAUCUACCCCUUAGUUUUGUGCAGUCACGUCUGGGGGUAGGGUGUCCUGACCGUUGUUGAGAGAGGGGUGGGGCGAAGUGUUUGAGCUACA